GAUGAACGCUGGCGGCGUGCCUAAUACAUGCAAGUCGAGCGAACAGACGAGGAGCUUGCUCCUCUGACGUUAGCGGCGGACGGGUGAGUAACACGUGGAUAACCUACCUAUAAGACUGGGAUAACUUCGGGAAACCGGAGCUAAUACCGGAUAAUAUAUUGAACCGCAUGGUUCAAUAGUGAAAGACGGUUUUGCUGUCACUUAUAGAUGGAUCCGCGCCGCAUUAGCUAGUUGGUAAGGUAACGGCUUACCAAGGCAACGAUGCGUAGCCGACCUGAGAGGGUGAUCGGCCACACUGGAACUGUGACACGGUCCAGACUCCUACGGGAGGCAGCAGUAGGGAAUCUUCCGCAAUGGGCGAAAGCCUGACGGAGCAACGCCGCGUGAGUGAUGAAGGUCUUCGGAUCGUAAAACUCUGUUAUUAGGGAAGAACAAAUGUGUAAGUAACUAUGCACGUCUUGACGGUACCUAAUCAGAAAGCCACGGCUAACUACGUG
This 497-nucleotide ribosomal RNA is filed under the name uncultured bacterium. Its description in RNAcentral is "partial 16S ribosomal RNA". It matches the Rfam family "Bacterial small subunit ribosomal RNA", at positions 28 to 507 of the family's 1533-position model. The record is from RNAcentral.